AUUGAACGCUGGCGGCAGGCCUAACACAUGCAAGUCGAGCGCGCGGCGGACGGGUGAGUAAUGUCUGGGAAACUGCCUGAUGGAGGGGGAGAACUACUGGAAACGGUAGAUAAUACCGCAUACCAUCAGAUGUGCCCACAUGGGAGUAGCUAGUAGGUGGGGUAACGGCUCACCGAGGCGACGAUCCCUAGCUGGUCUGAGAGGAUGACCAGCCACACGGGAACUGAGACACGGUCCAGACUCCUACGGGAGGCAGAAGUGGGGAAUAGUGCACAAUGGGCGCAAGCCUGAUGCAGCCAUGCCGCGUGUGUGAAGAAGGCCUUCGGGUUGUAAAGUACUUUCAGCGGGGAGGCGUUACCCGCAGAAGAAGCACCGGCUAACUCCGUGCCAGCAGCCGCGGUAAUAC
This 406-nucleotide ribosomal RNA is filed under the name uncultured bacterium. RNAcentral describes it as "partial 16S ribosomal RNA". It matches the Rfam family "Bacterial small subunit ribosomal RNA", at positions 29 to 526 of the family's 1533-position model. The record is from RNAcentral.